AACGCACAUUGCGCCCUCUGGUAUUCCGGAGGGCAUGCCUGUUCGAGCGUCAUUUAACGAACAUCAAGCACCGCUUGGACUUGGGCCCCCGCCCCUCGCGGGGCGGGCCCUAAAUCGGUUGGCGACGGCUUUUGGCCUCAAGCGUAGUAAAAAUAUUCCGCUCUUUGAGGCCUCUGGUCGCCCGCUUCUAGAACCACUUUACCACAAAGUUGACCUCGGAUCAGGUAGGGAUACCCGCUGAACUUAA
Molecule: unclassified non-coding RNA, 247 nt
Filed under: Dicranidion sp.
Lineage: Eukaryota; Fungi; Ascomycota; Orbiliomycetes; Orbiliales; Orbiliaceae
Also listed under: 1 other name
Description: partial contains 5.8S ribosomal RNA, internal transcribed spacer 2, and large subunit ribosomal RNA
Rfam family: 5.8S ribosomal RNA (bases 1-52)
Source: RNAcentral